AAGCUCGUAGUUGAAUUUCGGGGUCAGUAGAUUGGUCAUGCCACUGGUAUGUACUGGUCUCACUGAUUCCUCCUUCCUGAUGAGCCGUAAUGCCAUUAAUUUGGUGUUGCGAGGAAUCUGGACUGUUACUUUGAAAAAAUUAGAGUGUUUAAAGCAGGCUAACGCUUGAAUACAUUAGCAUGGAAUAAUGAAAUAGGACGUUCGAUCUUAUUAUGUUGAUUUCUAAGAUUGACGUAAUGAUUAAUAGGGAUAGUUGGGGGCAUUAGUAUUCAAUUGUCAGAGGUGAAAUUCUUGGAUUUAUUGAAGACUAACUACUGCGAAAGCAUUUGCCAGGAUGUUUUCAUUAAUCAAGAACGAAAGUUAGGGGAUCGAAGACGAUCAGAUACCGUCGUAGUCUUAACCAUAAACUAUGCCGACUAGGGAUCGGAUGAUGUUAAUUUUUUAAUGACUCAUUCGGCGCCUUACGGGAAACCAAAGUGUUUGGGUUCCGGGGGGAGUAUGGUCGCAAGGCUGAAACUUAAAGGAAUUGACGGAAGGGCACCACCAGGGGUGGAGCCUGCGGCUUAAUUUGACUCAACACGGGGAAACUCACCAGGUCCAGACAUAGUAAGGAUUGACAGAUUGAGAGCUCUUUCUUGAUUCUAUGGGUG
RNAcentral lists this ribosomal RNA (650 nucleotides) under uncultured Rhizophagus. RNAcentral describes it as "SSU rRNA". It matches the Rfam family "Eukaryotic small subunit ribosomal RNA", at positions 624 to 1276 of the family's 1831-position model. Lineage: Eukaryota; Fungi; Glomeromycota; Glomeromycetes; Glomerales; Glomeraceae. The record is from RNAcentral.